GCUUUCUCUCUCUAACCGAGAGCCUCUCUCUCUACCCGGUCGCCGGAAAUCGCUGCCGCCGCCGUCGCUGCCGCACCGCCGCCGGUCGCCGCCGUCGCCGGAAUCUGGAUUUCAACCAAAAUUUCCAGAUUUUCUUCUCUUCAUCCCCUCUUUCCAUUUCUCCAACCAAAAUCAAGAAAUUUAGCCAUUUAAUCCCCCAAAAAUCCUAGAACCCGAAGCUAAAAUUGGGGCUUUUGUGAUUUCUUCUUUCCAAGCUCAAAUCAAGGCUAUGGGUUUGGCAAGGAUUUUUGGUGAAGAAGGCCAAGGAGAAGGUAUAUGACGUGAUUUUUGAAGGAGAAAGGGAAACACGAUCGUUAAGGAAGCUUAAGCGGAAAGCAUCAGAGUGUGGAGUACGCCAACAUUUUCCAGGUAAAAUGGAGUCUCAAAGUCCAAAAAUGGCUAAGGAAGGCACAAGUGGCGCAGAAAUUGACACGCUUUGAGCAAGCGCAUAAUUUAACCCUGAAAUGUCAUUAGUAGUAUAAGUAAGUAGGGAUCGUUCUAUUCCGGGGAUUGAG
Molecule: long non-coding RNA, 554 nt
Organism: Rosa rugosa (rugosa rose)
Lineage: Eukaryota; Viridiplantae; Streptophyta; Magnoliopsida; Rosales; Rosaceae
Exons: 5
Source: RefSeq, a predicted model, not a curated record